Long non-coding RNA from Oncorhynchus tshawytscha (Chinook salmon), 516 nucleotides. The record is from Ensembl. Lineage: Eukaryota; Metazoa; Chordata; Actinopteri; Salmoniformes; Salmonidae.
CCCCAGCAUUAAACACACACACUUAGUCCCCAGUAACACACACACUUAGUCCCCAGCAUUAAACACACACACUUAGUCCCCCAGCAUUAAACACACACACUUAGUCCCCAGCAUUAAACACACACACUUAGUCCCCAGCAUUAAACACACACACUUAGUCCCCAGCAUUAAACACACACACUUAGUCCCCAGUAACACACACACUUAUCCCCCAGUAAACACACACACUUAGCCCCCAGUAACACACACACUUAGUCCCCAGCAUUAACACACACACUUAGUCCCCAGUAACACACACACUUAGUCCCCCAGCAUUAAACACACACACUUAGUCCCCCAUAACACACACACUUAGUCCCCAGCAUUAAACACACACACUUAGUCCCCCAGUAACACACACACUUAGUCCCCAGUAACACACACACUUAGUCCCCAGCAUUAAACACACACACUUAGUCCCCAGUAACACACACACUUAGUCCCCAGUAACACACACACUUAGUCCCCAGCAUUAAC